GGAACAUCAUGUUUCCGUUAACCAAGAUGUAUCCAGUCACAUCAUCACCGAACACUGAUUAGACCAUCAUGGUUCCAUCAAACACAGGAACCAAGGUCUGUUUACCCGCACCAUGAGGCCAGUCUCAGACUGGAAACCCUCACAUAUAUCAUCAGACUGCACAAGACUCAAAACUCCCAGCUAGAAACAUUUAGAGUUACCUUGCAUUGCUGGGUUGCAAAGAACCACAGCACAUAAAAACCGGAUCAUGCAAGAUCCACACACGAAGCCAGUCUCAAGACUGGAAACCUUCGCAUAUAUCAUCAGACUCCAAACAUAACCAGAAACAGCUAGGCUAACUACACUAGAUCAUUCAAACAGUAACCAGAAGUUGCGACAGGUGUAUCCCAGAGACAUUGUGAUCGAAGACACUCAGCUUUACUGCGAAGGCCCACUUGUACUCGCUGUAUUCUCUUCAGAUAACCUUUUCACCAUUCUGAAAAGAUUGAAUGUGAAUUAACAGUUACAGAACAUAAACACAAACUGAUAUGUAGUCAAAAAACUACAUAAACAUUGACUGAUAUGUAGUCACAAAACUACAUAAACAUUAACUGAUAUGUAGUCACAAAACUACAUAAACAUUAACUGAUAUGUAGUCACAAAAGUAUCUUACGUGUGGAGUCUGAUGAAUUCCUGGUUGUCCGGUUCCAGAGCAAGACAAGCCUUUAUAGCUAAAAGAGCCUUAUCAUAUUGCUGCAAGGAAUACAAACGACCAAUCAUCAAAACUAAUGUAUCCGAUUUAGAGCAUUACACAUGUAAGUUCAAAAUUGACGGUUUGGGAAUAAUGUAUGUCGACGGCGUCUAUAUGGGAAAUACUGCAUAUAAAAUAAAUAAAUCCAGAAGCAUAAAUGGUUACUGCCCAGCAGCAACUGCCUUGGCAAUGCCGCCUCAGUAACAGUAAAUCAAUUCAACAGCACAAUUUUAUGUAAAUGUAAGCAUACUAGCAAUAAACUAAUCCCAAAUCACAAGGAUAUACAGCUUUUAUAAACUAUUCCCAAUGCAAAUCUGGUCAUCCAACAGAAGUCCAAAACUACUACACAAACUGGGCAUCCAGCGUUCCUGCGAAGUGCCUAGUUAGCAUAUUAACAAGCUACUUAUUUUACCAUGAUACUGUUAAGAAAAUAAGAUACAGCUUAUUGUGUAAUCGGUAUAACAAAAUACUGCAUGACCAACCUCUUUUGAGAAAUAAGCACUCAUGUACAUAGAAAUACAUUCCACUGUUAU
Molecule: long non-coding RNA, 1263 nt
Filed under: Triticum aestivum (bread wheat)
Lineage: Eukaryota; Viridiplantae; Streptophyta; Magnoliopsida; Poales; Poaceae
Description: long non-coding RNA (TAES_LNC005085)
Source: RNAcentral